Molecule: signal recognition particle RNA, 299 nt
Filed under: Aotus nancymaae (Ma's night monkey)
Lineage: Eukaryota; Metazoa; Chordata; Mammalia; Primates; Aotidae
Description: Metazoan signal recognition particle RNA (ENSANAG00000001032.1)
Rfam family: Metazoan signal recognition particle RNA
About the family: The signal recognition particle (SRP) is a universally conserved ribonucleoprotein. It is involved in the co-translational targeting of proteins to membranes. The eukaryotic SRP consists of a 300-nucleotide 7S RNA and six proteins: SRPs 72, 68, 54, 19, 14, and 9.
Source: RNAcentral
GCUGGGCGUGGUGGCAUGUGCCUGGAAUCCCAGCUAUUCGGGAGGCUGAGGCUGGAGGAUAGCUUGAGUUCAGGAGUUCUGGGCUGUAGUGUGCUAUGCCGAUCCGGUGUCCGCACUAAGUUUGGCAUCAAUAUGGUGACCUCCCGGGAACAGGGGACCACCAGUUUGCUUAAGGAGGGGUGACCAGCCCAGCUCCGGAAACGGAGCAGGUCAAAACUCCCAUGCUGAUCAGCAGUGGGAUCGCACCUGUGAAUAGCCACUGAACUCCAGCCUGGGCAACAUAGUGAGACCCUGUCUCU